CCUACGGGUGGCAGCAGUGAGGAAUAUUGGUCAAUGGACGAGAGUCUGAACCAGCCAAGUAGCGUGAAGGAUGACUGCCCUAUGGGUUGUAACCUUCUUUUAUAUGGGAAUAAAAUGCACUACGUAUGCUACUUUGUAUGUACCUUAUGAAUAAGGAUCGGCUAACUCCGUGCCAGCAGCCGCGGUAAUACGGAGGCUCCGAGCGUUAUCCGGAUUUAUUGGGUUUAAAGGGAGCGUAGGUGGAUUGUUAAGUCAGUUGUGAAAGUUUGCGGCUCAACCGUAAAAUUGCAGUUGAAACUGGCAGUCUUGAGUACAGUAGAGGUAGGCGGAAUUCGUGGUGUAGCGGUGAAAUGCUUAGAUAUCACGAAGAACUCCGAUUGCGAAGGCAGCUCGCUGGACUGUAACUGACACUGAGGCUCGAAAGUGUGGGUAUCAAACAGGAUUAGAUACCCGAGUAGUC
Molecule: ribosomal RNA, 460 nt
Filed under: uncultured bacterium
Lineage: Bacteria
Description: partial 16S ribosomal RNA
Rfam family: Bacterial small subunit ribosomal RNA
Source: RNAcentral